Clupea harengus (Atlantic herring) is the source of this 737-nucleotide long non-coding RNA. The record is from Ensembl. Lineage: Eukaryota; Metazoa; Chordata; Actinopteri; Clupeiformes; Clupeidae.
GAGGAUACAUCAGAGUCCAUCUCAAAAGAGGAAAGCAUGGAGAAGAGCACUGAGGCAGAUUCCACAAAUGAAGACGAUGAUACUGACACCACAUCUGAGGAGGAUACAUCAGAGUCCCUCUCAAAAGUAAAAAAACGUGAUGGUCUGACCCCUAGAAGUCCAGCCCAAAAAGACUCAGGAAUCACAGAUGGGAAAGACUCAGCUGAGGACGUUACAGGUGCAGACUCAGCUGACACCACAAAUCAGCCAGACAAGAGCUCAGAAGAGGAGUCAGACGCUGGGGACAAAGACCAAAAGGCCAAAGACAAAGACGCUGAAAUGAAGGGCGAAGACAAAAAAGCCCAAGACAAAGACGCCAAAGCCAAGAGCUCCGGCAGCCAGGAGGCAGGGGCCUCCACCAAAGAAGAUGGAGACGAAGACGACAUUAAGAGCAGCCAGGAGAUGCACGACAGCGCCAGCCAAGACUCCGAGUACGCCACCAAGGAGGAGAGUGAGGAGGAGAAGAGCGCUGAGUCAUCGGACGAUAAAGAGAGCAAGAACGCCAGCAAGAAAGACAAAGCCAGCAUGGAGGACAAAUCAGAAGAGGAUGCAGACAAAGUUGACUAGAGGAUACAUCAGAGUCCAUCUCAAAAGAGGAAAGCAUGGAGAAGAGCACUGAGGCAGAUUCCACAAGUAAGGACUGACUGGAAGUUUUAACACCUCCUGUAAUUCAGCAUGGCAACAUCGUGGACAUGAUG